RNAcentral lists this non-coding RNA (29 nucleotides) under Rattus norvegicus (Norway rat). The record is from RNAcentral. Lineage: Eukaryota; Metazoa; Chordata; Mammalia; Rodentia; Muridae.
UUGAAGGCAAAUAAGGGCUGAUAGGAUGU